AUUGAACGCUGGCGGCAUGCUUUAUACAUGCAAGUCGAACGGUAACAGGCCGCACUUUGCUGUCGGGUGGCGAACGGGGGCGUAAUGCUACCACACGUGCCCAGUCCCGGGGGAUAACUACUCGCUAGAGUAGCUAAUACCUCAUACGAGCUAUGGAUGAAAGCGGGGGGGCGUAAGGCCUCGCGCGAUUUUUGCUGCCGAUUUUAGAUUAGUUAGUGUCUGGUUUGAUAGUUGGCCAGGUAAAGGCUUACCAAGGCAACGAUGUGUAGCCGGUCUGAGAGGGCGACCAGCCACACUGGAACUGAGACACGGCCCAGACUCCUACGGGAGGCAGCAGUGGGGAAUUUUGGACAAUGGGCGAAAGCCUGAUGCAGCAAUGCCGCGUGCAGGAAGAAGGCCUUCGGGUUGUAAACUGCUUUUGUACGGAACGAAACGGCUCUGGUUAAUACCUGGGGCUAAUGACGGUACCGUAAGAAUAAGCCCCGGCUAACUACGUG
RNAcentral lists this ribosomal RNA (497 nucleotides) under uncultured bacterium. Its description in RNAcentral is "partial 16S ribosomal RNA". It matches the Rfam family "Bacterial small subunit ribosomal RNA", at positions 30 to 507 of the family's 1533-position model. The record is from RNAcentral.